RNAcentral lists this transfer RNA (16 nucleotides) under Urtica fissa. Its description in RNAcentral is "partial tRNA-Ser". Lineage: Eukaryota; Viridiplantae; Streptophyta; Magnoliopsida; Rosales; Urticaceae. RNAcentral also lists the same sequence under 3 other names. The record is from RNAcentral.
ACUCAGCCAUCUCUCC